GGAAUAUUGCACAAUGGGGGAAACCCUGAUGCAGCCAUGCCGCGUGUGUGAAGAAGGCCUUCGGGUUGUAAAGCACUUUCAGUAGGGAGGAAAGGGUGUAACUUAAUACGUUAUAUCUGUGACGUUACCUACAGAAGAAGGACCGGCUAACUCCGUGCCAGCAGCCGCGGUAAUACGGAGGGUCCGAGCGUUAAUCGGAAUUACUGGGCGUAAAGCGUGCGCAGGCGGUUUGUUAAGCGAGAUGUGAAAGCCCUGGGCUCAACCUAGGAAUAGCAUUUCGAACUGGCGAACUAGAGUCUUGUAGAGGGGGGUAGAAUUCCAGGUGUAGCGGUGAAAUGCGUAGAGAUCUGGAGGAAUACCGGUGGCGAAGGCGGCCCCCUGGACAAAGACUGACGCUCAUGCACGAAAGCGUGGGGAGCAAACAGGAUUAGAUACCCGGG
Molecule: ribosomal RNA, 440 nt
Filed under: uncultured Shewanella sp.
Lineage: Bacteria; Pseudomonadati; Pseudomonadota; Gammaproteobacteria; Alteromonadales; Shewanellaceae
Description: bacterial SSU rRNA
Rfam family: Bacterial small subunit ribosomal RNA
Source: RNAcentral